Molecule: long non-coding RNA, 2568 nt
Organism: Macaca mulatta (Rhesus monkey)
Lineage: Eukaryota; Metazoa; Chordata; Mammalia; Primates; Cercopithecidae
Source: RefSeq, a predicted model, not a curated record
GCAGUGUUCCUUCCCACUGUGGCUGAUCCUGCAGGGUUUCCAAACCUCCCUCCCCGACAGACAGCCGGGGAAGCACGUCUCUGCGACGAGAAACCCAAGGAAGCUGCAGAAGAGAUUCUUCGUCUGCCCCUGUUCGGGGAAGCGGGGAAGCCCCUCGUCCGCAAAGGGGUUCAUUACAACUAAGAACCUACCAGGAGUUACUCUUCCCCCACAAGAUCCAGAAUGCCUUUCGGUUUCCUCUAAUGAAGCAGCAGCCUGACCAAGUCCUACCCACUGCUCUAGUCCCGAGAACUCCAGCUGCAGCGCACAAAAGGAAAGUGAACACGGGGAAAGCUGGGACUUUGUUGAGGGUCACAGAGGAGCGGUUCCACGGGGUGCCAGGGGUGUGGGAGCAGAGUCUUGGCCUUUGGAGCAGGUAGCCUGCAUGGUGAAAAGUGAUGGGAAUAGUGCUGCGUUCAGAUACAGGAUGGACCGCAAUAACAAAGAGACUCAAUGCGGUGGCUGAGAGGCAAGUUCAUUUCUCUUACCCAGGGAUGGAGCAGGUGAUCCAGAGCUACAGCAGUGGCUCCAUGGGGCAGGGAGCCAGGCUCUCCGCCUUGUUACUCCACCUUCUCCUAGGGGAUUCCUUUGGUCCAGGUGGUUCCUUCACAUGAAUGAUGGCUUCAUAGUCCAGCAGGUACGAAGGAGAAAAGAGUGAGGGAAGGCGCAACCGCUCUUUUGAAGGCCAUGGCCUGGAACUUACCCAGCUUCCUACCUUAACUGAGUGACAUGAGCACAACUAGAAAAGGAGGCUGGGAAAUGUAGUCUUAAUGCUACGUUGUCCUAUGACCAGCAAAAAUGUGGGGAUUUCAUUAUUAAAGGCAGAAAGAGAGCAUGUUAGGGGGACAAGAAGGCAAUCAAAGGGGUAGAUUAGGAGGGAUGGGAAUAUCGUCGUCCACCCAGCAAGGAAGACAGUGUUGGGCACAUAAAGGAGAGUGGGAAAUGUCAAGGCAGAAAUGACAGCUGAUGAUGACGGGGGGAACGAAGCCACUGACCACUGAGGACCCUGUGAUCUGGAUGGCAAAGAGGGUAUUGUGUUAGGAGGCCAGCAAAGACAGGGACCUGGGGUUCACUGGGGCGUUGUGCAGGGCGCUGCGGCAUGGUGGGCACACUGACUGUGGGACUGUAGAAGAAAGUACAGUUUGGGGACUGGCGCGUCAGCACCUCAGUGUCUUUACUGGGAAAAUCUGGUUCUGUCUGGGAUUUUUCUCUGCUAUGUGAAUUCCUUGCUCAUUCACUAUGGGGUCACUUCAUUGAUUUUCUACUCUUUUUUCUAUUUUCUUAUAUGAGCUGUUCUCAUUAAUCUCUACUGCCAAUUGUUUCAAUGUAACGGUAUUACCAAGAGGUACCGUUGGACUACGGACUUUCUGAGGUGUUUUAGAUGUGACCUUGACUUGGUUAAAAAGGAUGGAUGCAAUCACCUUCCAAAAUCUCCAAAUUUAUCACCCUAAAACCUCCAGUUGGGUGGUUGAAAACUGCAAUAUAAAGUCAGACAGAUUUAAACUGGCAUGAAACAAUGUAGAGAAGGCUUAUCAGUACACUUAAAAAACACUUUUAUAGUUUUCAUCUCCAUCCUCAAUUUGAUAGCUCCAAGCUACAAAUGAUUCUUAUAAACAUCUGCUUCUUGUGUUUAUUAUGGUUUUGGAUUUUUGUGCCAAGAAUAUGCAUGACAGGGCUGCCAUUCUUUUCGACCAAAUGUAUCUGAACAUGUGUUUCUGCAUUCUCAUCUGUUUCUCUGUAGAGAAAACAUGCAUUGAACCAACAGCAUGUCUGGAGCAGUAUCUUGUGAUUUCAACAGCUUCCCUCUGUGAUCCACCAAACAGAUAUUCAUGGUGGGCACUCUGUGCUCUCAGCCUGAAUCUAACUCUGCCAAGCCGUGGUUCUCCAGCUCAGAUAUGGAUGGUGUUAACCGGGGGUCUUCCGGGUUGUUGGAGCCUCCAGAGCCUGGAGGAAGUGCAGCGUGUCAAGUGUGCCUAUGCAAACUCAGCUUUAAUCUGCUAAGAAGUGACAGAGCAUAUUGGAUGACGGGAAAACCUGCCAUAUUGUUCCUCAAGCACUGAAUCAUCAAGAAAUGCUCAGUAGCGAUGAAUACGAAGGCAAGCACCUCAUCACCUGGACAAGCAGGCAGCGACGAGUGCCCUUUUUUGCAGAUGGGCAACCAAGGAAGCAAGUGACCCUUCAGAGAUUCCAGUAUCGUGGCCUGAACGUACAGAAAUGUUCCAGGCCAGGCUGAUCCUGCCGUCUUGCCCCCAAGCUGAAGAGGUCACAGCAUCACUGUUCAAACCUCAUGUCUUGGCCCUUUUCUGCUAGCCAGUGCCUCAGAGAGUCCACCGCACCUGGUAGGAGAAGGUGGCGGCUUUAAGUCCUGUGGCCAGUUCAAACCUAGGCCAGGACUCUUCUUUCUGUAAUCAACUUGUUUUUCAACUUCAUCUUGUUUAUUGCCAAAUCUAGCUUUGUGACGUCGGCUUACUUGAUUAAGUUCUUGAAACUGUGGUUUCCUGAUUUAUUAAAUUGGAGCAAUGACACCCA